AGAUACCGAGCUAGACGACCUGGACAUCGACCAUGGUCAGUGGCCUGGAGCACGCAUGGCGGCGCACGCUUCACGUUCCCUGAUCAGAAGUUCAGAACGGCGGCCUCUGCAGGUACGCGAACAUGUCCCCGAACGCGGCGGCGUCGACGCGUGCGAAGAGCGCCGGCGACGGCGGACCGAAGAGCGCGCUGCCGCAGUCGUCCAUGACCACGAACCCGUCGUCGGCCGCCGCGCCGCCCCAGUCGCCGCCGGGCCACCACCCGGCCCCGCCGCCGGGCUGGCUCUCGGCGUGGUCGCGGUCGGGGAGGUCCGGCGACGGCGACAGCACGUGCUCGGACCCGCUGCUGGAGUUGUCCGUGUGCAUCGUCCACGGCACGGAGCUGGAGUCGCGGUCCGGAUCGGGCUCCGUCGGCGACAGCGCCGCCGGCGCGGGCGCGGGCGCGGGCACCAUGGCCGCGGCCUCGCCGGGGCGAUCGAAGCAGAGCAUCCCCGCGGACGGCGUCUCGAGGUCGUAGUCGUCGUAGUACCCGCCGUAGUCGGCCAUCUCCACCUUCAUCGGCGCCGCCGCCCCGCGCGGGUUCUUGGCCGCGGCCGGCUUGACGUCGUCGGCGGCCGCGGCGGCGACCUCGUCGUCGUCCACCGUGUCGUACCGCUCGAUCACACCCUUCUUGUUGUAGAUGCGGCACAGCACCCAGUCAUCCAGCUGCAAAAUCCAAAGGAACAAAAAGGUCAGCGGCAUAGUCCAGGUGGUGCUAAAGACGAAAUCUUGCACGAAGCUGGUUGAUCUCUUUUACUACGCGUUGGAUCGGAGCCGCGCGCGGAGCUCGACGUGACGUGACGUCGGAUUCGGCGCGUGUGGUCAGAGUGGUGCGCGUGCGCGGGCGGCGAUAAGAUCAGGAUGGCUGACGGCCGCCGCGGUUGCCGGCCGGCUGUCCCUAUCGCCGCGUGCGUGAGCCGUGACGCCAUGCCCGCCCGCGCUUUACUGCUUUACAUGUCUCUAGAGCCGCCCGCCCGUCCGUCUGCAAAGUAGCCACGGGCUGUCGCGAAAGGGACAGCUCGAGCACGCUGCAAAUGGACAAUUUGGACCCCUACCUUUUCUUAAUAAUAAUACUCUUAAUUAUUAAUUACCUGCAAAUUAACCUAACAAAUGCAGUAUUUGCUCCACACAUUUCCAUUGCAACAUUGCUCAAAAAGACGAUCAUUUUUAUGUUUAAUGAUUUUAUAACUGAAAGUUUCAGUGUUGUUACUUUUUGUUGGGGGAGAUCGAUAAACGCAAGGAACAAGCUGCCAGCAAGACGUAAGUAAGGACAGUGAUUUACCCUGAGCGCGUUGUUGUUGGUCUUCUUGCGCGCGGCGGCGGAGCGGUCGACGUCGGCGAGCCUGUACUCGUGCAUGAUCCAGUUGGUCUUGACGCCCUUGGGCGGCUUCCCGGCGUAGAAGACGAGCGCCUUCUUGAUGGCGACGGGGCGCGGCGACCCCACCGGCUUGUCGGCGCCGGUGGCCUUCCAGUACCCGGCCCCCGCCGCCCGGUUAGGACGCGACCCGUUGGGGUACUUGCGGUCCCGCGGCGAGAAGAAGUACCACUCCUUCUCCCCUCCCAUCGCCUUCUCUGCAACAUCACAUCCGUCGAUCAGAGAAAACAGUUAGCGACUAAUCAGCUGAGAUUAUCAUAAUCCACCGGUGCUGCUGCAAGAUUAACAACCUGGGAGGUUCCAUGGGUCGAACUUGUAGAGGUCGACCUCGGCGAUGACGGGGGCGGCGAGGGGCAGGCCGCCGCACUUGCGGAGGAGGUAGUAGUUCACCAGCUCGUCGUCAGUGGGGUGGAACCGGAACCCCGGCGGCAGCUGCAGCGCGCCACCGAAGUCCAUCAGUUUCGCCGGAUUCGAGUUAAUUGAGGGGAUCGGAACGAAGCAGUCGUCGAUCGCAAGAGCAGGUCGCUGCAGAGCUCGGAGG
RNAcentral lists this long non-coding RNA (1953 nucleotides) under Setaria viridis. Its description in RNAcentral is "long non-coding RNA (SVIR_LNC008762)". Lineage: Eukaryota; Viridiplantae; Streptophyta; Magnoliopsida; Poales; Poaceae. The record is from RNAcentral.